AGCAGUGGGGAAUUUUGGACAAUGGGCGCAAGCCUGAUCCAGCAAUGCCGCGUGAGUGAAGAAAGCCUUCGGGUUGUAAAGCUCUUUUGUCAGGGAAGAAACGGUGAGAGCUAAUAUCUCUUGCUAAUGACGGUACCUGAAGAAUAAGCACCGGCUAACUACGUGCCAGCAGCCGCGGUAAUACGUAGGGUGCAAGCGUUAAUCGGAAUUACUGGGCGUAAAGCGUGCGCAGGCGGUUUUGUAAGUUUGUCGUGAAAGCCCCGGGCUCAACCUGGGAAUUGCGAUGAAUACUGCAAGGCUUGAAUCUGGCAGAGGGGGGUAGAAUUCCACGUGUAGCAGUGAAAUGCGUAGAGAUGUGGAGGAACACCGAUGGCGAAGGCUGCCCCCUGGUUCAUGAUUGACGCUCAUG
RNAcentral lists this ribosomal RNA (409 nucleotides) under uncultured bacterium. Its description in RNAcentral is "bacterial SSU rRNA". It matches the Rfam family "Bacterial small subunit ribosomal RNA", at positions 350 to 751 of the family's 1533-position model. The record is from RNAcentral.